RNAcentral lists this non-coding RNA (148 nucleotides) under Homo sapiens (human). The record is from Rfam by way of RNAcentral. Lineage: Eukaryota; Metazoa; Chordata; Mammalia; Primates; Hominidae.
GCUGGGCGUGGUGGCGGGCGCCUGUAGUCCCAGCUACUCUGGAGGCUGAGGCAGGAGAAUCACUUGAACCCGGGAAGUGGAGGUUGCAGUGAGCUGAGAUCAUGCCACUGCAUUCCAGCCUGGGCAACAGAGUGAGACCCUGUCUCAA